AGAGUUUGAUCAUGGCUCAGGACGAACGCUGGCGGCGUGCCUAAUACAUGCAAGUCGAACGCUUUUUCUUUUCACCGGAGCUUGCUCCACCGAAAGAAAAAGAGUGGCGAACGGGUGAGUAACACGUGGGUAACCUGCCCAUCAGAAGGGGAUAACACUUGGAAACAGGUGCUAAUACCGUAUAACACUAUUUUCCGCAUGGAAGAAAGUUGAAAGGCGCUUUUGCGUCACUGAUGGAUGGACCCGCGGUGCAUUAGCUAGUUGGUGAGGUAACGGCUCACCAAGGCCACGAUGCAUAGCCGACCUGAGAGGGUGAUCGGCCACACUGGGACUGAGACACGGCCCAGACUCCUACGGGAGGCAGCAGUAGGGAAUCUUCGGCAAUGGACGAAAGUCUGACCGAGCAACGCCGCGUGAGUGAAGAAGGUUUUCGGAUCGUAAAACUCUGUUGUUAGAGAAGAACAAGGAUGAGAGUAGAACGUUCAUCCCUUGACGGUAUCUAACCAGAAAGCCACGGCUAACUACGUGCCAGCAGCCGCGGUAAUACGUAGGUGGCAAGCGUUGUCCGGAUUUAUUGGGCGUAAAGCGAGCGCAGGCGGUUUCUUAAGUCUGAUGUGAAAGCCCCCGGCUCAACCGGGGAGGGUCAUUGGAAACUGGGAGACUUGAGUGCAGAAGAGGAGAGUGGAAUUCCAUGUGUAGCGGUGAAAUGCGUAGAUAUAUGGAGGAACACCAGUGGCGAAGGUGGCUCUCUGGUCUGUAACUGACGCUGAGGCUCGAAAGCGUGGGGAGCGAACAGGAUUAGAUACCCUGGUAGUCCACGCCGUAAACGAUGAGUGCUAAGUGUUGGAGGGUCUCCGC
This 858-nucleotide ribosomal RNA is filed under the name uncultured bacterium. Its description in RNAcentral is "bacterial SSU rRNA". It matches the Rfam family "Bacterial small subunit ribosomal RNA", at positions 8 to 837 of the family's 1533-position model. The record is from RNAcentral.